Molecule: small nucleolar RNA, 86 nt
Organism: Amaranthus tricolor (Joseph's coat)
Lineage: Eukaryota; Viridiplantae; Streptophyta; Magnoliopsida; Caryophyllales; Amaranthaceae
Source: RefSeq, a predicted model, not a curated record
AAGCCAGUGAUGAAAUUAUUUUACAAGUUGGAAUUACCGUCUGAUAUAAUCAAUUCUGAUGAUAGACUCUCUUUCUGAGGCAUUCC